RNAcentral lists this unclassified non-coding RNA (400 nucleotides) under uncultured bacterium. RNAcentral describes it as "contains 16S-23S intergenic spacer region". The record is from RNAcentral.
CACACGAAACUCGAAAUUGCCCGAAGGGCGGCGCGGCGGCUUCACAUUGAUCGAACUGCUGGUCGUCAUCGCGAUCAUCGCGAUUCUCGCGGCGCUGCUGCUUCCCGCGCUCGCGCGCGCCAAAAACGUCGCCAAACGCACCGCCUGCCUGAGCAACCUCCGGCAAUGGGGCCUCGCCCUGGCGAUCUAUUACGACGACAAUGAGGGUUACAUCCCGCGCGAGAGCUUCGGCAGCGGCACGGUGCUGAACAACUGGGCCCAGGUGCGCGAUGUGAACAAUUACGACGUGUGGUACAACUCCGUGCCGCCCGUGAUGAACCAGCCGCGCGCCGCGGAUUACUUCACGCGCCGGGCUGAUUUUUACGCCGUCAACAGCUUCUUCCACUGUCCCGUGGUGAAA